CCUACGGGAUGCAGCAGUGAGGAAUAUUGGUCAAUGGACGAGAGUCUGAACCAGCCAAGUAGCGUGAAGGAUGACUGCCCUCUGGGUUGUAAACUUCUUUUAUAUGGGAAUAAAACAGGGUAUGCAUACCCUCUUGUAUGUACCAUAACAAUAAGGAUCGGCUAACUCCGUGCCAGCAGCCGCGGUAAUACGGAGGAUCCGAGCGUUAUCCGGAUUUAUUGGGUUUAAAGGGAGCGUAGGUGGAUUGUUAAGUCAGUUGUGAAAGUUUGCGGCUCAACCGUAAAAUUGCAGUUGAAACUGGCAGUCGUGAGUACAGUAGAGGUGGGCGGAAUUCGUGGUGUAGCGGUGAAAUGCUUAGAUAUCACGAAGAACUCCGAUUGCGAAGGCAGCUCACUGGACUGCAACUGACACUGAUGCUCGAAAGUGUGGGUAUCAAACAGGAUUAGAUACCCCUGUAGUC
RNAcentral lists this ribosomal RNA (460 nucleotides) under uncultured bacterium. RNAcentral describes it as "partial 16S ribosomal RNA". It matches the Rfam family "Bacterial small subunit ribosomal RNA", at positions 338 to 795 of the family's 1533-position model. The record is from RNAcentral.